This 497-nucleotide ribosomal RNA is filed under the name uncultured bacterium. Its description in RNAcentral is "partial 16S ribosomal RNA". It matches the Rfam family "Bacterial small subunit ribosomal RNA", at positions 28 to 507 of the family's 1533-position model. The record is from RNAcentral.
GAUGAACGCUGGCGGCGUGCCUAAUACAUGCAAGUCGAGCGAACAGACGAGGAGCUUGCUCCUUUGACGUUAGCGGCGGACGGGUGAGUAACACGUGGAUAAUCUACCUAUAAGACUGGGAUAACUUCGGGAAACCGGAUCUAAUACCAGAUAAUAUAUUGAACCGCAUGGUUCAAUAGAGAAAGACGGCUUUGCUGUCACUUAUAGAUGGUUCCGCGCCGCAUUAGCUAGUUGGGAAGGUAACGGCUUACCAAGGCAACGAUGCGUAGCCGACCUGAGAGGGUGAUAGGCCACACUGGAACUGAGACACGGUCCAGACUCCUACGGGAGGCAGCAGUAGGGAAUCUUCCGCAAUGGGCGAAAGCCUGACGGAGCAACGCCGCGUGAGUGAUGAAGGUCUUCGGAUCGUAAAACUCUGUUAUUGGGGAAGAACAGAUGUGUAAGUAACUGUGCACGUCUUGACGGUACCUAAUCAGAAAGCCACGGCUAACUACGUG